RNAcentral lists this ribosomal RNA (253 nucleotides) under uncultured bacterium. RNAcentral's name for it is "partial 16S ribosomal RNA". It matches the Rfam family "Bacterial small subunit ribosomal RNA", at positions 524 to 776 of the family's 1533-position model. The record is from RNAcentral.
UACGGAGGGUGCGAGCGUUGUCCGGAAUCACUGGGCGUAAAGGGCGCGUAGGCGGCCUGAUAAGUAGGGGGUGAAAUCCUGAGGCUUAACCUCAGGGCUGCCUUCUAAACUGUCGGGCUCGAGCACAGUAGAGGCAGGUGGAAUUCCCGGUGUAGCGGUGGAAUGCGUAGAGAUCGGGAAGAACAUCAGUGGCGAAGGCGGCCUGCUGGGCUGUUGCUGACGCUGAGGCGCGAAAGCUAGGGGAGCAAACGGG